Molecule: ribosomal RNA, 292 nt
Filed under: uncultured bacterium
Lineage: Bacteria
Description: partial 16S ribosomal RNA
Source: RNAcentral
GGACUACAGGGGUAUCUAAUCCUGUUUGCUCCCCACGCUUUCGUGCAUGAGCGUCAGUAUUGGCCCAGGGGGCUGCCUUCGCCAUCGGUGUUCCUCCACAUCUCUACGCAUUUCACUGCUACACGUGGAAUUCCACCCCCCUCUGCCAUACUCUAGCGCGCCAGUCACCAAUGCAGUUCCCAAGUUAAGCUCGGGGAUUUCACAUCGGUCUUAACGCACCGCCUGCGCACGCUUUACGCCCAGUAAUUCCGAUUAACGCUCGCACCCUACGUAUUACCGCGGCUGCUGGCAC